AUUGAACGCUGGCGGCAGGCUUAAUACAUGCAAGUCGAGCGCAGGAAGCCGUCUGAACCCUUCGGGGGGACGACGGUGGAAUGAGCGGCGGACGGGUGAGUAACACGUAAAGAACCUGCCCAUAGGUCUGGGAUAACCACGAGAAAUCGGGGCUAAUACCGGAUAUGUCAUCGGACCGCAUGGUCCGCUGAUGAAAGGCGCUCCGGCGUCGCCCAUGGAUGGCUUUGCGGUGCAUUAGCUAGUUGGUGGGGUAACGGCCCACCAAGGCGACGAUGCAGAGCCGAACUGAGAGGGUGAUCGGCCACACUGGGACUGAGACACGGCCCAGACUCCUACGGGAGGCAGCAGUAGGGAAUCUUCCACAAUGGACGAAAGUCUGAUGGAGCAACGCCGCGUGAACGAUGAAGGCUUUCGGGUCGUAAAGUUCUGUUGUAAGGGAAGAACAAGUGCCGCAGGCAAUGGCGGCACCUUGACGGUACCUUGCGAGAAAGCCACGGCUAACUACGUGCCAGCCGCCGCGGUAA
RNAcentral lists this ribosomal RNA (524 nucleotides) under uncultured bacterium. Its description in RNAcentral is "partial 16S ribosomal RNA". It matches the Rfam family "Bacterial small subunit ribosomal RNA", at positions 29 to 523 of the family's 1533-position model. The record is from RNAcentral.